UCUCCCAUCAAUCCGUUGCCUUUGACAUAUAUUGGAGGUGGUGCUUGACGGGAGAGAUUUGAUCAAGCGGAUCAUUGAUCUCAGCCUCACUUCCAGAUGAAGUGGGAUCAUGAUUGGGAGUCCGAGGUGGAGAUGGGAAUGGCACAUGCCACGGUUGGUCCCCCGGGUAACUGACAUGCUCAAUUGGAGGGCGUACAUCCGACAUCUUUAAGUAUUGCUGGGGACAAUUCACAGCUGUUGCCUGCAACAAAACAAAUAAAGCUACAUUCAGUCUCCAGUUGUAAACGACAACAUGGUUAGCUUUAGUGGAGAAUAUUUGUGUUGCACUAAGACUAAUUACCUUUCCCGUUAAGAAGGUGCCUCUGUUGCAGUUCUAUAUAGGAAGGUUCAGUUAUAUGUACGAACUACUAUGAAGUAUAUUGCGUGUUUAGUUGGUGCAUUCAAUUGAUGAGAUUGCAAACUACACCAUUAACUCCUUGGCUGCAAUUUAUAGUAGUACAACAUUACAUUAAC
This 513-nucleotide long non-coding RNA is filed under the name Prunus persica (peach). RNAcentral's name for it is "long non-coding RNA (PPER_LNC001719)". The record is from RNAcentral. Lineage: Eukaryota; Viridiplantae; Streptophyta; Magnoliopsida; Rosales; Rosaceae.